This 38359-nucleotide long non-coding RNA is filed under the name Vitis vinifera (wine grape). RNAcentral's name for it is "long non-coding RNA (VVIN_LNC004409)". Lineage: Eukaryota; Viridiplantae; Streptophyta; Magnoliopsida; Vitales; Vitaceae. The record is from RNAcentral.
AAGAUAAGUCAGAGAAGAGGGCAGCAGGCACUUUUGGGAAAUAAUUCCACGUCUUCACAUCCACCUCUGAUUGUGAAAUGAGUAUUGUUUAAUCAUUAUAAGAUGCCUACUUAAAUCAAUAAUAUCUUCCUCACUUCCAUAUACACGAGAUUCAAAAACUAAAAAAUAGAACAAGCCAUGCGCAUGAGAUUCAUUUAGUUUUAUUGAGAGAGUUGUGCCUGCCAUGCACACACACACCGGAUUAAAGAAAUAAUGAAAGAUGACUUAUGAGAGAGUUGUGCCUGCCAUGCACACACACCGGAUUAAAGAAAUAAUGAAAGAUGAAAUAAGUCAUAGAAGGCUCAUGGGGCUGCUCAAAGCCUCAGAGAGAGAGAGAGAGAGAGAGAGAGAGAGAGAGAGAGAGAGAGAGAGAGAGAGAGAGAGAGAGAGAGAGAGAGAGAGAGAGAGAGAGAGAGAGAGAGAGAGUUAGUUUUUCUUUUUUUUUCUAACUUUGAAGCUAGUCAUUCAAGACUCAUGGAGUUGAUUGAACAUUAUGAUAGAACCAAACAGUCCCUAUUGUUUGCCAAAAACAAUUUUGUGAAAAAGCGAUCCUUUAUAAUAUGUUUGCUUCCAUAAAGUUUGAAAAAAAAAUGUAAAAAAUAAAUAAAUAAAUAAAAAUAGAAAAAAAAUUUAAAAUUAAUAAAUUAUUUUUACAUAUUACAUGAAAUUCAUUUUAAAUAUUUAAUUCUUUGAUAUAAAGAUUAAAUAAUUUAAAAAUAAAUAAUUUUCUUAAUCAUUUUAAUUAUAUUUGACUUUUUUCAUAUUUUUUAUGAUAUAAUAAAAAAUUGAGAAAAUCAUUUUUGUUAACAUUUUUUUUCUUAGUAUUUUUUAGGAACUAAAUAUAGAUUUAUAUUAAAAGUAAUCCUUUAUAUUAAAGUCAUACUUGGUUCUAGAAAAUGGUCCAAAAAAAUAUGUUAAAAAAAAUAAUUUUCUCCUAUUUGAUUUUACUAUUAAGAAUAUGAAAGAAAAUCAAAUAUAAUUAAAAAUAAAUAAAAAAAUUAUACAUUUCAAGUUAUUUUAUUUUUAUAUAAAAGAGUUAAAUAAGUAAAAUGAGUUUAAAAUAUAAUAUAAAAACAAUUUAUUAACUUUUCACAUCUAAUUAUCUUAUCCUUCGUUUGUAAUACUAGAAGUAUCAAGGAAAUGAAAAAAAAAAAAAGCAGCUAAAUGAGAAUUUAAAAUCAUAUGUUUGAUUGAGAGUGAAAUUUGAAAUACUAAAUUACAUAUAUUUUUAUUAAUGAAGAAGAAUGAGAAAUAAUAUUUUUUUAAAAAGUAUCUAAAUUUUUUCUUACUUUUUUUACAUGUCACAAACAUGGUUGUCUUAGGUUCUAAUCUUUCCUAAUUCAUCAAAGACUAAAUUCCCAUGGUCAAUGACACAAGUACUGUAGGCAUGGCAAUGAGAACUCUGCUAAUGAGAAGCUAACACCAAAAGAUUUAGGUCUUCUCUUAUGACCAUGACAUUGAUCUCAAUGAUCAUUUCCAUGAAGACAGAAACAAAGUGCAUCAACUUCCUAACAAACUUCAGGUCUAUUUGCCUACCUUUAAAAGGUGGUCCACUAGGUCAAUGCAAAAUAGACCAGCUUUUAUUACAGAGACUCCCAAUCAAUGAAUGCAGGCCGCUAAACCAAAAUAUGAAACAAUGAGAUGUUUUGAGGUUAUUGAGAACAUGAACCAAAACAAAGAAAACCUUUUUGUUUUAGUGAAAAAUAAGACAUUGAAAGGAUAUGCAGUCAUAAAUCUUGCAAUUUUGUACAUUGCAAGAGUUAAAUCUCUACUUUUAUUACACUCGAAAGGGAAUAGCAGCAAGAAAAGACCAAAGCAAUUAAAAUUUUUUAUUGCCAAAGCUCAAUACAUCCCUGCUUUCCUCCAUGCUUGUAUAAGAGAACAUAGACCAAGAAAGUGAGAAAAACCUAAGCCUCCAUGGUUUUCCAUGGUUAUCAAGUGGUUCACUUGGUUUAAGCGUACUACCAAAUAAAAACAGAGCAUGAAAAUGCGAGUACCAUUAGAAAAUGGCAACUAUUUGCAUCCAAAAUGUGAGCACUUGGGUUCAAUCCUCCUCUACUCCUCUUCAAUAUUUGUUUUAGACUUGAAGCUUCACGAAAAAAGAAAAUCCCUAGCACACCUGCCACCAUUAAAAAAAUCAGCAUCAGUAAGCAAACAUAAAAUUCCUUGCACCUAACAUUGACAUGGACUCAAAUUAUCUAGAACUAACCUAAAUUCAUGGAGAUGAAUAGCCAACCAAGCCAAGCAUGUGCCUGUGUGAUGUCUAGUCAGUCAUCUGGAGAAGCUUGGAGCACGCCCAUGAUUAGAUCUGUCACAUAUGAGCUGUAUUUUGGUAAUUCUGGAAUGCGGUAUUUUCUAUUUAAGAUAAUAGAUGGUGAGAAACAUAUAGUCAGAUAAAUAAUAAAACACACACUCUAGUAUUCUACUCAUUGAUUCACCCAUUCACUAAUCAUUAAAAAGUCUAGAAAUAUAGAAGCUUAAAUUUUCUAAUUUAUGGAGAUAGCAAAUAAGCUCAUAAUCAUCAUUUCUAUACAAAAUCAGGAAGUUCAAUGAGGGAGUUGCACUCAACCACCUUAAGAUAAUAAGGACAUCAGAAUAAAAAACAAAGCUACAAAAAGUCUUAAAGCCAAGAUCAAUUUAAUUAUAGUAUUCUUCUUGGGAGUUACAUGGUAUAAACCUUCGUUAAGACAUGGACUCUAAUUUUCUUUUCAAAGAAACAGUUGACUCCUGAUCGGAUAAUGCCCAUGGCCACUAACAGGAGUGUAGGCAUGAUGGCAACAACAAUUUUGCUAAUGAGAAGCAGCACAAGAAGACCGUCACCUUCAGAAUCCAUGUCAUUGAUCCCAAUGAUCAACUCAGCAACAGUUAAAAAAAAAAAAAAGUAUACAAAAAUUCAGUCACAGUCAAGAUCUAAGAAAUUCCCAAAAAAGAACAUAACCACAUCAAAAUUAGGACAAAACAAGUACAACAACUACCUAAUAAGAAAAAAAUUGACCAAAAUACUUCAUGUAAACAAAUAAAAAAAGUUGACCAAUUCAGUACCAUAAAAUACUUCAUAUAAAAUUUUUGCUUUUAAUUGCAGUUUGAUAAAUGAUCCUGGAUCUAAAUGUACAUUGGCAUAAAAUUAAUUAUAGUUUCUUUACCUCACAUGUUUUUAUAUUGCAUAAUGGAACUUUGUUCCUCAUCAUAAGAGGUCUUCUAUGCUCAUCCUAGUUGCUUGAUAUGGAACGCAUGGAGAAGAAAAGAAAAAACAAAAAGUAUUGAGUAAUUUAGUUUGAUAAAAAUUUAAAAAAAAAAUGGAAAUUUAUUCAGAGAAGUAGCAUCAAUUGCCCAUGGAAUAAGUGCCUACAGAUGUCUCCCAAAGAAUCUUAAUUCAUUCGUAAAACUACAAUAUUGACUACAAACUAACCAAAAAGAUAAAAAAAUUUAAAUUCAUGCAAAUUUAUAAUAAAAAAAAAGGAAGAGAAAUUCAUUCUCAUAUACAAAUUCUAAAAGGAAGAGUGACAAGAAAAGAUUAACUAAUAAAAACUCCAAAGGGGUGUGGUGGUAUAGAAACUUCAACCUUCCUCAUUGCUGGCCUUAUUACAACCCCAAAGGUGAUUAAAGAGCCAUUGCUCAUGUGAUUAAAAUAUGAUAACUAGCUUUGUUAAAAUGUGAAUUACCGAGAACCAAUCUUCCUUUACUCGUCUUUUCUCCAUUGGAAAAUUCUUAAAUCAAAUAAACAGAGCAUGCUGCACAACCAAAUACCCAACAACAAGACUAGGAAAUGAAUUAUGUAGACAUGCAAUUCUAGGGAUUGUCAGAAAUUCUGAAACAUGAGUACUUGACAGCUACUUUAUGAAUUGGAACAUAAGUUUUCUGAAUAAAAUAAGUAUAAGCAUAGAAUUAAUUACUUGACUGUAUAUUGGUGCGGUACCACUUUCAUUAAAAUAUCACACCAUUGAUCACAAUUUUUGGAGUUGAGAGUGAGCAAUUGCAUAUAUACGAGAUCAGGGUACCCUCUGAUUUGCAAGUAACGUCAAUAGCCUGUCUGAUAUGAAGUUCAUAAUUAUAUGAACUCUACUGCAUUCUUCUCUGCUUCCCCUUCAUCAGCUUGGCAACUAAGCAUUUGAAAAAAUUUGGUCUUUAAAAUCUAGAUCCAAGAAAGAAUAACUAUACAGGCACACACACCUGGACAGCCUCCCCUCUUCAUCAAACAAUUCAAUAGCUGUUAAAUCCACUAAUCCCACAUCCAUGGCCGCUGGUGCCUAUGCUGCACAUGUCAUCAGGAAUUGCCUGCACAACAGACCAAGAAGAAGCAUUUGAGUGCUUAUAUGAUCUAGCAGCUCCAUCAGAAUCAAGUGUUGCCCUGUAGUAAUAGUCACUCCUUAAGUCUCUCCCCAUGUGCAGGUAAGUAUCUGGGUCUGAUUGUAACUCAACCCAAACAAGCAUGGGCAUCCAUACUUGAUACCUUUCAGGUUGGUCAAAUUGAAAUGAGUUACAUAUAAUGCUCAUCUCCAGUAUCGUUUUUGAAGCUAGUUCGGCUAGACUAAUAGACAAAUAAGCCCUCAAAAUAAACUUUCCCAGGUUGAGAACAGACCUUAUAUUGAGAUAGUCCACGACCAACCCUGCUCUUAAUAUAUAAGAAAUGGUGAAAAAUAUGUAGUCAGAGAAAUAAUAAAAUACAUAACCUAAUAUCCUAUUGAUUGAUUCACCCAGUUUUUAACCAUUAGAAAGUCUGGAAAUAUAGAAGAGUAACUUUUCGAAUUCAUGAGGAUGGUGAAUAAGCUUAGAAUCAUCAUUUCUACACAAAGUCAGUUGGUUCAAUGAGGGAAUUACACUCUUAACUACUUUAAGAUAAUAUAACAACAUCAAAAAUAGAAAAUUGAACUACAAAUAUUUUUGGAAUGCGAGAUAUAAAAGGCCAUUCUUUCCUUUUCUCAAAUUGGCACUGUUGUUCCAGUGAAGGACACUUGAAGACAGACAGAUAAAAGAGGGAGUUUGGCAGUCUCUCUUUUGUCAAGUAUUGGAGCUUAGGGCACUUGUAGAGAUCUAAGGUUUCAAGAGUGGUGAGGUGGUGAAGACCUGCUUCUGUCAAGGAUUGGAGCCUUGGGCACGAGUAGAUUUGUAAUUCUUUGAGAGAGAUAAGGUGUUGAAUAACAGAUCUUGUCAAGGAUUGGAGACUUGGGCAGUCCUGUAUUCGUAAUUUUUUGAGAGAGACAAGGUGUUGAAGCCCCUUGUUGUCAAGAGACUUGAGAUUUGGAAGACCAUAGAUAUAAAGAUAAGUCAGAGGAGGGCAGCAGACACUCCUUGGGAAAUAAUUCCACGUCUUCACAUCUACCAAAGAUUGUGAAAUGAGUAAGAGAGCUCAGUCUUUGCAAAUCCCAGUCCACCUGGGACGUGAGUUGGUUGCAGCGACAGAUUUGAAGUUCACGUAGGUUGGAAGGCAAGCCCUCUUUGUGAAACAACAAUUCUCGACAAUCCCCUAAACUCAGCUUCUGCAGAGAUGAAUGGGUAUGCGCCAACAAUCUGAGCUUGGAACAAUUGUGAAUCAAAUGGGACAUCGAGUGAGAGCGGCAGUUGGAUGUAUACAAGAUCCGAGCACCCAUCGAUUUCCAAUUUAUGAAGAGAUGUGGGAUCCCCCUCUGAAAUCGAAAUGCAGAGCUUCUCAAGCCCCUUGAGACCAUUGAUUGCGAAAUUAGUCAACCUGGGGGAGAUGUCCAAUAUGGAGAAGGAUAACGGGAGAGAAUUAUCAUAGGUACCACCAUUGAUCUAUAGAUUUUCAAGGACAGGGUGAUGACAUCUGAACAACUCAGGUAGAAGAAGGUCCAAUUUGGUACAGUUAGAGAUUGAUAGGGAUUUCAAUGUAGUGGGUAAGCCAACUUUGCUCGGGGAUCUGGAAAAAGAGCAGUCUUAAAUUUCCAAACUGUACAUGUUGGUUUGUAGGAAUUCGUCCUCUAGUAGAGACUCCACAGAAUCACAAUUUUUAAUGAAGAGAUUAUGGGGUAUCAUUGCAAGUUGCUUCAACUGAGAGACAUCUGAAAUUUCAAUUUCUGAAGUUUGAAGAGCUGUGAAGCCACAAGUUUCCCUUUUCAAGAGCAAUCUACGGACAACAGGAACAUUGAGUGAGGCACAAGCAGCUGCGGACGAUUUUCAACUUAAAGUUCCUUCAUUGAAGGAAGGUGUAUUGGUAAUUCCCCAGUGAGUUGGUGACACAUCACUAUAGAAAGCUCCUGGAGACGAGGGAAUUCUCCAUGUCUGCCUCCACGACAAAACCAUUUCUCCCAACUGGACAUAUGAUAAAAUGAAGAAUUUGUAGGGAUGGAAAGGAGGGCUGAGGCGAGGAAGAAGAACUCCCAUAAAACUCACCACCGUCAUAGUUCAAAUUUAAUUAUGAAAUUUAUUACCCUAAUUAAUUUUAUAUUAAAAAAAAUAUGAAUGAAAAGCAUCAAAUUAUGAAAAUUAUUGUUUUCUAUAUUUUAAUAAUGAUAUUACUUUCUACAUAUUGAAAAUUUUUAUGGUUAGAUGAUUUUCUUCAAGUGGGAUGCCAUAAAAAAUCAUUAAGAAUACAAAUAUGAUGAAUGAUUCAAGUGAGCAUAAAUUUUUCUUUGUGGUAUGGAGUGUUGAAAUUUGGGCUCCAAACCCAUUGUCACCAUGCACCAGUAAUUAAAUAAAUUUAGAAAAAGAAAGACAAAAGAAUUGUCCUUGAGUAGAUUUAAAGUUUAAUUAUAUAAGAAAUCUUUUCUUUUAUAUAUAUAAUAUAAAAACUCUCCAAAACUUGUAUUGAAAAUGUAAUAAAUUUUAAAAAUUAAAUAAAAAUUGAGGUAUUUAAAAAACUUUUGUAUGCAUUUGGUAAAACUUAAUAUUUAUUAUUUACUAACUUAAAUUAAUUUUAAUUUAAAUUAUUUUUAAAUUGUUAAUUUAAAACUUAUUCUUUUUUAUUUUAAGUGUUAAGGUUGUUUAGUAAAAUUAAUUUUAAAUUAUCAAAUUGACAAAUUUAUCUUUAUUAGUUGUAAUGAAUAUUUAUCAUUAUUAACUGUAAGUUAUAUUAAUUUUUACUAGUCUUAAGCAAUAUAUUUGUUUAUUAAAUAUAUAAUCUUAAAAUAUUGUAAAUUUGUAAGAUACACUUAAAAUAAUUAUGAUAAAAAAAUGAGUCAUCGAUGUAAAGCCAUGGUUGUUAAUAUUAUUUUAUAAUAUAUUCUAUAAAUAUUUUCUUUAAUUAUUUUUUUAUUUUAAAUUUAAUUUAUAAAAAGUUUUUAUUUUCUAAAAUAACUAAUAUAAAAAAAUUAAAAUUAAUAAAAUAAAUAAAUUUAUUAUAUAUGAGAUGUGUAUAUUCUACUAUUAAUAUACAUUAUGCCCUCCUUUAUUUGAACUCAUGUUAGGUGAAAAGAAUGUAUUUUCAUACAAAUGAUAAAAAGGUAAUGAUUCGAGAUGAACAUAAAGAAAUUCCAAAUUAAAGCCCUACACGGAAACUUCAACUACACCCUCCAGCAUCUGUGUAACCUUCCUCAUGGUUGGCCUUAGAGCUGAAUCCUCCUGAAUGCACCAAAUGGACACCAUCACUAGCCUCUCCAGCCUCUUCAUAUCAUUCAUAAUUUGCAUCCUCAUCAUCUUCCACCAACUUCUCCAACUUCCUUUGCACAAACAGUUCAUAAUCUCAAUCCAUUAGAGCUUCCUCUUCGUCUUCCAUAUGAAAGAGGAAAUCUUCUUCUAACACAUUGCCUCUAUAAAUGACUACUUUGAAGAAGCAAUCCUCUUCACAUGACUCUUUACACUUCUCCUAAUCAACCGAUCUGUGUUGUUUAAUUCUUUCAACUCCACUUCAUCCUUUGCUCUCUUCGCUUCAUCUUCAUCUGCUUGGCAACUCCACUUCAUUCUCAAGAACAAAGUUACCAUUGUCGAGCAUAGCAGCAUGAGUAACCCCUUUAACAGCCGACUGAGUUCUCCGAAGCUCAUAUCCUCCUUUGUCAGCGAGUUUGAACUCCCCAUUUUUGGUGAGUUCAAUCUUUGUACCCUUCUGCCACUUCUUUAUCUGCAUACCAAAUUAUUGUUUGGUAAUUCAUGUUCACUAAUUACAUAUAGAACAUAAUUAACCCCUCUAAAAAAAUAAUUAAUAUGAUCAAUCAUCUUCUAAGAUGGCAUGUUACAUAAAAGGUAACAAGAUUAUGCUACUUUUUUAAAAUUUUCCUUAGGUUGUCAAUGUCAUAAUGUGGGUACAAACUGAUGGUAUAGGAACAAGUACAUUGAUAAAAAUUAAAAGAGAAAAAUUGGAAAUUUAUUCAGAGAAGUAGCAUCAAUUGUCUAGGGAAUAAGUGUCUGCAGAUGUUACUCCUUAGUCCCCAGUAUGCUUGAAACAAAUUGGAGACUGAUCAGUUUCUUACAGUAUCAGAAGACAGCAGCCCAGCUAUAGCUAAACACACAAAGAGUUUGAAGAACACUGAGCUUCCAAGUAGUAGUGACCCAACAAGAAUCAAGGUAGGCUUAUCCUGGCCUAUCUGUAAGCCUUUGCUCUGUCUUCCACAGGAGAGAAGGAAUCUCUUUGGCCAACACAUUGUCUGUAUAAAUGGCUACUGCACAGAAGCAAUCCUCUUUACAAGACUCUUUAAAAUUUCUCCUUGUCAACGGUCUGUUCAAUCCAAAGUUCAUAAUUGCAGAUUUGCCAGUCUGUGUUGUUUAAUUCUAUGAACUCUACUGCAUUAUUCUCUGCUUCCCCUUCAUCUGCUUGGUAACUGGGCAUUGGAAAAUUUGGUCUUUAAAAUCUGGAGCCAAGAAAGAAUGCCUACACAGGCACUCACAUCUGAACAGCCCCCUCUACUCAUCAAACAAUACAAUAGCUGUUGAAUCCACAAAUCCCGCGACCACGGCCCCUUGCAGCUGCACUGCAAUUGUCAUCAGUAAUUGCCUGCAGAAUAGACCAAGAAGUAUUAAUGCAGUUCCAAUGGUUUGCAGUGUUCUGUUUUCAGUGCUUAUAUAAUCAAAAUCAAGUGUUGUCCUGUAGUAAUAUCACUCCCAAAGUCUCUAUCUUCUGAUAAGAGGUUAACUUAUGUGGCAAGAUGGUAUCAGUGGGAUUCUUGAAGCAUGUCCAGGCACAAAUAACUAAAGCCAUAUUUUCAAAAAAAAUUGGUUACCAACCAAGAAAAACCUGGUAGAAUUAGCAUAGAAUAUGUAAAAACUGGAAAAUCGCCAUGUUAAUUUGAGCAGGUCAUUCAAGUACAUGUGAUUUUGGCCUCUUAAAUAUUCAAUCACAGGUACAUUCUAUAUGAUUUUAAGCUACUAGAGAAGUAUGAAAAAGAAAAUUAUGAGAAUGUCAACCAGUGUGGAAACUAAUUUCCUCAAGUAACUUCUCUCAAUAUCCUUUUCCUUUGUGACAAUGUUAAAGACCUAUAGUUACAAGUUACAACUUAAUUUUCAUCUCCAGACUUACCAUGUGAACAUACUUAAGUCUGAUUGUAACUCGACCCAACCAAGCAAGGGCCAUCCAUAGUUGAUACCAUUGACGUUGGUUGAUGGAAUUGAGUCACAGGCUAGUCCAGCUUGACUAAUAGUCAAAUAUGCUCUCAAAACAAACUUUCCUCAGAUUGAGAACAAACCCUGUAUCAUAAAAAGUUCAUAAAAAUAAAUCCGGAGAACAUUUAAUAUAGUCAACAACCAACUCUUCUUCUUCAUAAGAGGUGGUGAAUUAGCUCAUAAUGUAGAAUAGUGAAUUUUCUAAAACAUGAAGAUGGGAAUAAGCUCAAAAUCGUCAUUUCUAUACAAAAUCAGAAAGUUCAAUGAGAGAAUUGCACUCAACUACUUUAAGAUAAUACCAACAUCAAAAUAAAAAACAGAACCGCAAAAGUCUUAUAGUCAACACAAUUUAAUUACAAUAUUCCUCGUGGGAAUUUUGCGGUAUAGACGUUCAUUUAGACUUGAACUUUUUAAUUUUCUUUAAGAAUAAACAAUUGGCUCCUGCUCAAAUGAAAAAUGAGAACCAAUGCUCAUAGUCAGAGACAAAAGUGUAGGCAUGACAAUGCCAAUUUUGCAAAUGAUCAUUUGGUCAUAGUCAAGACCUAAGAAAAGCCAAAACAAGAACAAUAGAACAUCAAAAUUGGGACAGAAACAUAUGUAGCAACUACAUAACAAAGAUUUGUGUCAAUCUGCUCACCUUUUGAAGGUGGUCCAUCGGGUUAGUGCAAAAUAGACUGGCUUUUUUUUUACAGGGGCCCUUAAUCAGUGCUGGCUGCUGAACCAAAAGAAAGUUCAGAUAACUAAAAAAUUCUAUAAAUUCAAUACCAUAAAAUACCUCACAUAAAAAUGUUGCUUUUGCAACUGUAGUUUUCCAAAUGUUCCCAAAUUUAAAAUUACAUUGGCAUAAAGUUAUUGAUGUUUACCUCUUUUUUUUUUUCAUGGUCAUAUCAAACAUUGUUCUCAUAGUAAGUCUUCUAUGCUGAUCCUUGUUGCUUAAUAUGAGACACACAAAAGAAAAAGCAGUGAUCCAUUUAUUUUGAUAUCGAAGGGAGCAAAGUCACAACAUGUAUAUUACUUAUGUAGCCAACUAAGUUCAUAUUAUGAUGUGGGUAAGAUUCAAUACAUAUUUCAAUAACCAUGAAUUACCAAAAAAUGUAUCCACAUGUUCUUACAGGGGAUUAACACACAAGUAGCUAAGAGUCAUCUCUACCCAUUCUAAAAGGUAAAUUGAUGGUGUCAUGAAAAUAUGAUAACUGGCUUCAUUAAAAUGUGAAUUACCAUGGAUCAAUCUUUCUUUACUCUUCUUUACUUCAUUAGAAAAUUCUUUUUUAAAAAAAAGACAGGAUAGAGCAUGCUGCAUAACCAAAUUCCCAAUAAGAAGACUAGAAAAUGAGUUAUGCAGACAUGCAAGUGCAGAGAUUGUUAGAAGUUUUGAAACAUGAGUACUUGGCCAGCUACUUUAUGAAUUGGAACAUAACUUUUUUAAAGAAAAUAAGUUUAAGCAUAGAACAAAUUACCUGACAGUAUAUUGAUGGAGUACCACUUUCAUUAAAAUGACAGACCAUUGAUCACUGUUUUUGGUGUUGAGAGAGGGCAAUUUCAUAAAUACAAGAUCAUGGGAUUAUGUUCCCUCUGGAACUCGAUUUUGCUUGUCAAUAGCCUGUGUACCACAUUCUUCUCUGCUCUCCCUUCAUCUGCUUGGCAAUCGGGCAAUUGAAAAAAUUUGGUCUUUAAAAUCUAUAUCCAAGAAUGAAUACCUAUGCAUGCAACAAUCUAGACAAACCCCCUUCUUCAUCAAGCAAUACAAUGGUUGUUAAAUCCACAAAUCCCACUACCAUGGCUACUGGUGUCUAUGCUGCAAAUGUCAUCAAAAAGUAUAGAUUUACCUUGUGUCUUUAAAAAUCACUUUUUGAGAAAUUUUAAAAUUUGAGGGAAUAAGAGCAUGUUUGGUGAAAAUUUUAAAAACUGUUUGGUUAUUGUUCUCUAUUUCCUAUUUUUUAAAAACAAAGUGAAAGAGAAAAUAACUUUUAAAGAACAAAUAACAUUUACUUUCAUCCAUUUUUAAAAACAAUAGAAGAACAUAUACACUAUUAUUUCUCUUCUACAUAGAAUUAUUAUUUUUCAAUUUUUUUCACUAGGCAAAUUAACUCCAAAUUAAACAAGACUUUAUAUGUUGGAUUUGUUAACAAGUCUAUUAAAUUUUAAAAAUAAUUUGAAACUUAAAUAAUAAACUCAUUAUUCUAACAUAUAAUAAAAUAGUAUAAUUUCUACUAAAAAUAUAAUUUAUGAUUUUAUUAUAAUAUUACUAUUUAUGUUUUACUAAAAACUAUAUAUUUUAUAAUUUAUCAAUAAUUACAAAAUUAUUUUCAUUUUCAAUAAAAAAUUUAUCCGAACAAGUUUUUUUUUUAAAUCCUUUUAUAAUAAUUACUUACCAAAUAUUCUUAAUUUUAUAAAACAUUAAAAAAACAAAAAAAAAUUAAUUAAAGUACUUAAUUGACUUGUAUUAAAAAUAAAUAUUAAAAUUAUUUUUAUAUUAUAGAAAUUUUUUUUUCACUAUAAUAAAAAAAUUGUUUCAUAAUUAAAAACAAAAUUAUUUUUCUUUAACUAAUAUAUAAUUAUGUAUUUAAUUUUUAUUUUUUAUUAAGACUUAACUUGAAUUUGAUUUUAUAUUAUUAUAAAUUAAUUUUAUAAAAUAAAAGUAAAACAUUGUUUUUAAAAAUAAUACAAAUUCUUUAACCUAAACAGCAUUAUUGUUUUUUGUUUUAAAAAACUUUUUUUUUAAAAAAAAUUAUUAAUUUUUCAAUGUAAGGCUUUAAGAGUUAAAAUACAAAAGUUACUGUCACUUAAUUUUAGGGCUAAGGAGGUCAAAACCUUAACAAUGUAGGAGAUUUAACGGAGGCAAGGAAUUAAACAGAUAUAUUCUUGAGAUUAGAAAUUUGGGUGGAACAUCAAUUUUGUAAAGAAAUUAAGUUUAAGCACACAACAAUUACCUGCCCAUGUGUUGGUGCACUGCCGCUUUCAUUAAAAUAGCACAUCAUCGAUCUCUAUUCUUGGAAUGUGAGAUAUAUAACGCCAUUCUUGCCCAUUCUCAAAUUGGAGUCGUUGUUCCAGUGAAGGACACCAUCUGACAUACAGAGAAGAGAGGGAGUCUGGCAGUCUCUCUUUUGUCAAGUAUUGAAGCUUAGGGCAGUCGAAAAUUCUUAACGUUUCAAGAGUGGUGAGGUGGUGAAGACCCGCUUCUGUCAAGGAUUGGAGCCUUCCGCACGAGUCGAUUCCUAAUUUCUUGAGAGAGAGAAGGCAUUGAAGAACAGAUCCUGUCGAGAAUUGGAGCUCAGGGCAGUACUGGAUCCAUAAUUCUCGAAGAGAGGUGAGUUGUUGAAGCCCCUUGUUGUCAAGAGACUUGAGAUUUGGAAGACUAUAGAUUGAAAGAUAAGUUAGAGAAGAGGGCAGCAGACACUCCUUGGGAAAUAAUUCCACGCCUUCACAUCCACCUUCGAUUGUGAAAUGAGUAAGAGAGGUCAGUCUUUGCAAAUCCCAGUCCACCUGUGACGUGAGUUGGUUGCAGCCCCAUAUUUCAAGUUCCCGUAGGUUGGAAGGCAAACCCUCUCUGUGCAACAACAAUUUUGGACAAGUCAUUAAACUUAGGUUCUGCAGAGAUGAAUGGGUGUGCGCCAGCAAUCUGAGCUUGGAGCAGUUGUAUAUCUGAUGGCACAUCGAGUCGAGAGCGGGCAGUUGGAUGUAUACAAGAUUAAGGCACCCUUCGAUUCUCAAUCUACGAAGAGAUGUGGGAUGCCCCUCUGAAAUCGAGAUGCAGAGCUCCUCAAUCCCCUUAAGAUCUUUUAUUUUGAAAUCAGUCAACCUGGGGAAGAUGUCCAAUAUUGAGAAGGACAACGAGAGAGAAUCACAGGUACCGCCAUUGAUUGAUAGAUUUUCGAGAACCGGGUGAUGGCAUCUGAACAACUCAGGUAGAAGAAGGUCCAAUUUGGUACAAUCAGAGAUUGAUAGCAAUUUCAAUGUAGUGGGUAAGCCAACUUUGUUUGGGGAUCUGUAAAAAGAGCAAUCACAAAUUUCCAAACUGUACAUGUUGAUUUGCAGGAUUUCCUCCUCUAGUAGAGACUCCACAGAAUCACAUUUUCUAAUGUAGAGAUAGUGGGGUACCACUGGAAGUUGCUUCAACUGAGAGACGUCUGAAAUUUCAAUUUCUGAAGUUUGACUAGCUGUGAACCCACAAGUUUGCCUUUUCAACUGCAGUUCACGGGCAGCAGGAACGUUGAGUGUAGGCACAAGCAGUUGUGGACAAUCUUCAAGGUUAAGUUCCUGCAAUGAAGAAAGGUGCAUUGGUAAUUCCCCAGUGAGUUUUGGACAUAGCCUUAUAGAAAGCUCCUGGAGACAAGGGAAUUCUCCACAUACGCCUCCACAACAUAACCAUUUCUCCCAGUUGUACAUCUUUUUAAAUGAUAGAGUUUGCAGGGAUGGGAAGGAGGGAUGAUGCGAGGAAGAAGAAUUCCCAUAAAACUCACUACCCACUCCCACUACUCCUUUCAUGUCUGAGAUCUCUAGACGUUUAAGACAAGCUAGUUGCCCCAGUGGCGGCAAUGUUGAGCAAUUCCCACAAUUCGAAAGCUGAAGGGACACGAGAUUUGAAAAUGAUUCAUCUCCAAGCCAAUCUGGAAAUGUUAGACCAGGAUACCCUCCAAUGGACAACUUUUUUAAAUUUGGAUGAGGUGUUAGCCUGUUAAGAAUAUCAUCUGUUGCUCCACUUUGUCUAACAUAAUCCCCAAUCCGGUAGUGACUCCAAUUCAAGGAUAACUCAUCAAGGUAUUUCUUAUCCUUCAUAUUCGCCUGCAAUGCAUCCUCAACACCCACCACAUUCUCCAUUUUUGAAAUUUCAAGUCUUCCUCUAAUCUCUGAAAGCUUCCACAAUUCUCCAAAUCUGAAUCCACUUUCUUGGCCCACAAUAAAAUGAGGCAGCCGUUGUAAACUUUUUAAUUGCUCUAUAUCAUUUGGCAUUUCUUUCAAUGAUUUAGUCCCACUAAUAUCAAGAUAGCGCAAAUUAAUCAACUUCCCCAUUUUUGAAGGCAAUUCAAGAAGAUCAUAACAUUGACUCAACAUCAUCGUUUGCAAAUUGCAUAAACAACAUAUUGAUUCAGGUAAUCUUUUAAUCAUUGUUGUAGAGAAAUCCAAGUAACGCAACUGUUUUAAAUUGUGUAUUGAAUCAGGCACAUCUGUUAUGCAGUAUUCACACAAUGACAAUACGCGCAAGGAUUUAAAUUUUGGUAAUAUAUUUUGUAAAACUCUUGUACUUAAUAAAUAAAAAGGAUGGUGCCAUAAUCUCUCCACCUGUAAGAUUGUUCUGAGAUGUUUGGCUUCACCAACAGGCUCAAAAGUUUUAAAUACAACUGCCCCAUCAUCGUCACUUUUAAAGUGGAGAAAAUGGCGAGCCUUAUCAGAUAUUUUUUGCAGCUUACAAUCUUCCAAUCGAAUGCAAAAUUCUUGGGAGAUAUGUUGAGCCAAGUCAUGUAUUAGAUCAUGCAUUACAAAGCAUGAUUUUUCUCCUCUAAUACAUUUUUGAAAGAAUGACUUUGCUAAAAGUUCAUUAAAAUAUGAAUCACCUACCUCUUCCAUUCUUCUGUUACUUUGUCCCGAGUGUAAAAGCCCUUCUGCCAUCCAUAAUAGAAUCAGCUUCUCUUUGUGGAAUUCAUAGUCCUUGGGAAAAAUGGAACAGUAAGCAAAACAACGCUUCACAGGUAGGGAAAGAUGCUGAUAACUCAAUCUAAGAGAUGGAAGAAUUUCAUGAUCAGUCUGAGAAUGCCAUGUUUUGCUAUUCAAAAUAUCUUCCCAUUCUCUUCUUUCGGGCUUAGAGUACAAGAGACUCCCGAGUGCUUUCACAGCCAAAGGCAAUCCUUGGCACUUCUUCACAAUCUCUCUGCCUAUGGGUUCAAGCUGAGGAUAAGCGCAGGGGUCUCCAUUUGGAAAUGCAAGUUUUGUAAAUAGGGACCAACUAUCUUCAGGGCUUAAUGUUCCCAGCUGAUGAGUAUGGAUUGCACGCAUGACUUUUGCAACAGUUUCGCUACGACUGGUCACAACAAUCUUGCUUCCCUGGGCUGCAGCGUGGAGUGGAGUUCGUAGUCUAUCCCAACUUUCCCAAUCAAGAGACUCCACAUCCCAGACGUCGUCGAGAACGAGCAGAAAUUUCUUGUUGCCAAGGUUGUCUUUGAGUUGAUGUUGAAGCAAAUCUAGGCUGUGAUCGGAAGUAGGUCUACAACCGAUUGCCUCAAGAAUUGAUUUGGUUACACCGAUAAGAAGAAACUCCGUGGAAACACAGACCCAUGCUUUCAUGUGGAAGUGUUCCUUCACUCUGUCAUCGUUAUAGAGAAGCUGAGCGAGUGUGGUCUUGCCACUUCCGCCCAUGCCCACUAUGGACAUCACAUCUAUGACGUUGUUGGCUGCUGCAGUUUCCUUGUCAGAAAGCAACCACUUCACCAACUCCUCCCUAAUUUCACCCCUGCCGUACACGAAGGAGUCAUCCACCAAAGAAGAGGAUGGUAAUUUUGGUGACAGUUUCUCACCAUCACCUUCUUUCAGCUCAAGCUCAACUUUUUCUUUUGCAAUGUUUUCAAGUCUGGUCAUCAAGCCCUUGACCCUGGACUCCAUGUUUUGGUUGGCAAAGGGAGCCUUAACCCUGGUAGAGAACUUGUUCCACACCUGAUAAAUUCCGCCAGUUUGGACCUCAGCAGCUUCUAUCUCGCAACGCAAGGCUUCGGUAGCGAUCUCGUCCAACAGGUCCUCCGCAUGAUACACAACAUCCUUAACUUGGACCAACCACUCUUUGACCAGUGGGUCUGAAAAUUGCUUCACCUCCGCAUCAUUGAGCGCUUUGUGGACAACCAGCAAUUUCCUCUUAAAGUCGGUGAGGAGUUCAUGGCUAAGCUUCUGUCCCCGGAUGAAGUUGACGAGCUCCGGAGAAGCCAACCUGUCGAAUAGAACUUGAAGUGAAGCGGAGAGGAGUGCGUCCGCCAUUGCAAAAGGAAUUCAGCGAGAUUGAAUACAGGAAAAAUGAAGCAAAGCGGAAUGCAGAAUCACAGCAGCAAACUGCAAAGUAAGAAGUAAAGACCGGUCUCUUUUGCCAAGGGCUUGAACUUGAAGGAAUCAUUAAUGGUGGUGGACCCAGAUGCAGACUUUUUUGCCAAACACAAUAAUUGAGUGGUGACCGGUGAGUAAAAGAAAGCAAAGGGGAAAUCAAAAGCGCAAAAAAAGGCUGAUGCCAGGCUCUGUUGAGUAAGUUGGGUAGAGCUUUCCAAACAGAAAGCAAAAGCCACAAAGCAUGUGCCAGCUUUUUUAUUUGUUUCCUCUUAAUUAUUUUUCUUUUUAAUAUACUAAUUUCUUUCUCUACUACUGUUGUUAUUAUUAUUAUUAUAAGAGACGAAUAUUUGUUUCAACAUUAAUAUUCCUAAUAUUAUUAAAUUUCAAUAUUUAUGUUAAUACUAUUAUUUUUAAUAAUUAUAAAUAGUAUUGCAAUUCUACAAUUACUAUCAAUAUUUAUUGCUUUUAAUUAUUAUUAAUAUAUAUAUAUAUAUAAUCACAAUUACAAUUCAUUCACAAAAUAAUUAAUCUAGAUGUCAGGAUUUGUCACCAAACCCCACAAUUCAUUGGUCAGUCAAAAAACAUUUUUACAUAAAUUUAGCGGAGUAGGUGGAUGGAUGUUGAUUGAUCCAUUGUCUCAAUUCAAUGGUGGGUUUAAAAGCAUUUUUAUAUCAAGUUGGUGGAGUAGGCGGAUGGAUGUUGAUUGAUCCAUUGUUUCAAUUCAAUGGUGGGUUUAAAAGCAUUUUUAUAUCAAGUCGGUGGAGUAGGUGGAUGGAUGUUGACUGAUCAAUUGUCUCAUAAAUUUCUUUUUUGUUUUAUUGUUAAAAUUUUUUUCCUUGAAAGUUAAAACCAACUUAAAAGGCAUAGUAAAAUAAGUAUUCAACCUAAUAACUUGGAAUUACAAGAAUCAUUUUUAAAAAGUAACCAUUAAAAUUAAGCUUUAAUUAUGAUUAUUAAAAUUGUUGCUUUUCAUGUUUUCAAUAUUGUCUUUUACAUAUUAAAUUUUUGGAUUGUUAUGUGACUUUUCUUUAAUUGGGAUGUCUAAAAAAGAAAAAGAAGUAAGAUAAUUAGUAAUCUUAUUUCCAGUUUGGACUUCUUACUUUUCCAUUGUGAAUUUAAAAAUUAAAUUAAAAAUAUUUUUGAUAAUGUUUCUAUUAUAAGUUAUGUUUAGUUAUCGAAAAAUAUUAAAUAUAUAUAUAUAUAUGAAAAAUGAUUUUCUCAUAUUUAAUUAUAGUAUAAAAAAUAUCAAAUAUAAUUAAAAUUAAUUAAAAUUUUAUAUAUUUUAAAAUUAUUUAAUUUUUAUAUGGAUGAGUUAAAAUAAGUAAAAUAAGUUUGAAAUAGUAAAUAAAAAUAACUUAUUUUAUAUUUUUCUUCAUUUUUUUUCUAUUUUUUCUUUAUAUUUUCUUUCAAUUUUUUUGGAAAAAAAAAAAGGCUGAAGUAUUUACAAUAAAAGUGUUUUUUCUAAAAAUGAUUUUAAGAGAAUCACAUAUCAAAUGUUAAUUUUUCAAAAAAUAUUAUAAGUAAUUUUUUAAUACUAAAAGUGAUUUGUUUAGGUUUUCAAUAAUAGUUUCUUAAUUUUAUCAAAUACUUCAUCUUUUUCAAAAAUAUUUUUUUUAAGGUAGAAGCACUUUUUAAAAUUAUUGUUAAACUAAUUCUAAGAAUAUUGAAACCAUCAAAACAUAUGAUUUAAAAACCAUAAUAAAUAUUAUGUGAAUGAUUCAAGUAGGCAUGGAUUUUCCUUUCUUUUCUUUUAUUUUAUUUUUUUGUAACCCGAAGUGUUGAGUUAAAGUUGAUAUUAACACCAAAGGCCUCAUUUUUUAAAUUUAAUUAACAAAAAAUUCUUUUAUUAUUAUCAAUUUGGUGGAGUGGGUGGGUAGAUUGGUGGAAUCGGAUACUGCCAAAAAAGCAAAAGCAUCCAUAGGAUGAUGCCUACCAUUCCUUCUUUUCCACGUUUAUUUAUUGAAAUUUUUAAUCCUUUCAAUGAACUUGACAACCAUCUUAAAAUAAUUAUUCGGAGCUAUUGAUUUAAAAUGAUAAGGAUCAUUUUUAAUAAUUUUUUUUAAGAAAAAAUAAUUAUUGUACCCGACUCUACUUGAUAAUAAUUUCAAAAAAUAUUUUUAAUUUAAAAAAUUAGAUAUUAAUUAAAAUUUUAAAAAAAUAAUAAAAAUAUAAAAAAUUAUUUAUAAUAUUAAAAAAUCACUUAUUUUGUUUCCUAAAUUCUACUCUCCAACUUGUCAAGGAGUUCAUGGCUGAGAUUUUGUACCGGAUGAAGUUGAUGACCUCCGGAGAAACCAACCAGUCGAAUAGAACUUCAACUUGAAGGGAAGCCGAGAGGAGUGCGUCCGCCAUACCUGUUGACUGCAAAUCUGAAGGUUGGUCUCUAUUGCCAAAAUGCACAAGGCUUGAAGGAAUGAUUGAUGAUGAUGAACUUUGCCAAACACCAUAAUUGAGUGGUUAGUAAAACAAAGCAAAGGGGAAUCUGUAGACCCCCUCUUUUGGGUUUUGUUUUCUUUAUAUUUAUUUUGAGCCUUCCCGCCACUUUUGGAGCACCCAGAGGAGGACAUUUGGACUGGGGGACUGGCUUCUUGAAGCAGGAGCUGCAUGGGACACGUGGUUGUGGAGCUGGCUAGAGCCAUGGUGGUGGUUGGACGGUGAUGCCAUCCUCCGAGGACAAACAGUGAAGUAGAGAAUGGCUUGCGGGAGAAGAUAGGAGCAGGGGAAGGAAAUAAAAAAGGAGGAAGAGAAAAAGAGAAAAAAAAAGGGGGAGGGAGGUGGUCUGAGGAGGAUACGUUUAUGAAAGGUGUUCUGGAGCUUAGAGAGAGGCUGCUACAAAGAAAGGGAAAGUGGCAUGAAGAGGCAAUGAGUUGAAGGGGAGAUAGCACAGGUAUGGUUUCUGUCAGCUGGAUCUCUUUGCUUCCAUAUCGUUUUGUUUAUGAUUUCUGGGGAUUAUUAAGUUUUUGUUUAUUUAUUCUGAUGUUUGAAUAUGAGCAUUGAGGAUUUUAUUAUGUUCUUGUGGAAUCUGAGCUCGUUUGCCUCCAUUCUAUGUUUGGUUUUUAGCUUGGUUUUUAACCUGUUUUUUGGGCUCUGUUCUUGGUAUUUUUGCUUUGGUUCUUCUUUGAGACUUGAUUGAGAUACAUUUUCAACUUACCCUAACACCUAAGCUCACGGGUUCAAGCAUGAGAUGUAGCUUGUGAAUUCGUCCCCACUCGUACACUUUGUGCUCUGUUUUGGCUACUCCCCUAUUUCUGGUACUCAUCUGUGGGGCAUGUAGGUUCAUGUAUUUCAAGAUGUGCCGAAAUGGCACCCCCGCUUGUUAGCACUGAAUGUCACCACGAACCUUACUCCCAUUACUUUCCCUUAGGUCCAUCUCCCAUAUUCCAUCAUACCCACUGCCCAUCUUCUCACUCUCAUUUCCUUUACCCUCACAUACCCACCAUUAUCCUUCUCUCACUACCCGCGGCUGCUCCUCAGUUACCCAUUCCAUAUACAUAUCCUAUCUUCCAUACACCCCAUGCAUAUACCCAUCACCCACACCCCCACUUACCAUACCCUCACGAGCCGUUCAUUCAUGCCCACAACGCCCUUUAAAUUCAUUUCCUUUCUUAGCUUAAAACACCCUACUCAUUCCACCAAUUUAUAUCACGUCACUUGCACCAUGCAUGGCCGUCCAAAGCUCCUCCAAUCCACUCAUCCACGUACAAGAGGCCCAUGCAAACCCUUUCAUCACCAUAUCCAUCUUCAUUCUUCCUCUCUCCAAACCUUCACAUACCCAUCACCACCUUUUCUCUCUCUACACCACAACCAUACCCAUAUCUUGUACCUCCAUGCAUACACUCACUCCACCAACCCGUAGCCUAUUCUUGCCUCAUGCAUGGCUGUCCAAAGCUCCUCCAAUUCAUCUAUCCACGUGCAUGGGACUCAUGCAAACCAUUCCCUCACCUCACCCAUCUUCACUCUUCUCCUAUAGCUAUGCCUUAGAUGCCCACAUGUCAUUUCUCUGCCUUAGAUGCCCACAUGCCAUUUCUCUCACUACCCGUGGCUACAUUUCACCCAUGAUCUCUACACUCUUCACGUCCAUGUGCAUGCCACCACUACCUAUCUCUCUCUACACCACAACCAUAUCCAUAUCUUGUACCUCCAUGCAUACGCUCACACCCACCAAGCCCCUCAAGCUCACGUCUUCUCUCUCUACACCAUCCAACCAUCCAAGCCCGCAUUCCGACUAUAGGUGGUUCCGAAACCCCCUUCAUUUAGUCCACUGUUAUACUUCGUGCAUGAAAGAAAGAAGAGGUUAAGGCCUUAAGGACAACACGAGGUUCAUUUAGAGUAGCUGUUAGUUGGGGAUAUGGGCUUGAGUUGGAGCCCAGACCCAUAUGUGUUGAUAGAAGGCCCCAUGUUUUGUUCACCCAUCUUAAGAUGAAGCCCAGACUCAGACUCAUACGUGUUGAUGGAAGGCCUCAUGUUUUGUUCACCCACCUUAAAUUGGCCCAUGUCCAUUCCAAGCCCAUGCUCACUUCAAGUUGAUUUGUUCACCCACCUUAAGUUAGCUCAUACCCAUUCCAAGCCCAUACCCACCUCAAGUUAGCCCUUUUGUUUUCAAUUUGCAUGAUUUAUAUUCCUAAAAACAUUAAUUUCUCAAUAAGUUUUAAUUCCAAUUUUUGAAAUUUUAAUUCUCACACCAAUUUAUUUAAUCAUUAUUUAUUUAUUUAUUCGUUUAUCUUUAAAAUUCAAUCUUUAAAUAAUCUUUCAAAAUUCCAAUUUCCAAAAUUUUAAUUCUCACGCCAAUUUACUUAAUCAUUAUUAAUUUAUUCAUUUAUAUUUAAAAUUCAAUCUUUAAAUAAUUUUUCAAAAUUCCGAUUUCUAAAUUUAAUUUCGAUUUCCGAUUAUUUAGUCAUUAUUAAUUAAUUAAUUUAUUUAUUUGUUGAUCUUUAAAAUUCAAUCUUUAAGUAACUCUUUUAAAAUUCCGAUUUCUAAAUUUAAUUUCGAUUUCCGAUUAUUUAGUCAUUAUUAAUUAAUUAAUUUAUUUAUUUGUUUAUCUUUAAAAUUCAAUCUUUAAGUAACUCUUUUAAAAUUCCGAUUUCUAAAUUUAAUUUCCAAAUUCCGAAUUCUUAAUUUCCACAUCAAUUUAUCUAAUCAUCAUUAUCUUGUUUAUUUAUUUAUUCGUUUAUCUUUAAAAUUCAAUCUUUAAAUAACUUUCCAAAUUAUGAUUUCUAAAUCUAAUUCCAAUUUCCGAAACUUUGAUUUUUAAAUUAAUUUAUUUGAUCAUCAUUAUUUUAUUCAUUUACUUGUUUAUUUUUUUAAAACUCAAUCUUUAAACAAUUCAUCAAAAUCACGAUUCCAAACUAAAUUUCUUUAGUAUUCACUUAAUCAUUAUUAUUUUCACUAUUAUCAUUAUUUUAUUUAUUUAAUUCAAAAAUCCCCUCUUCGAAUGAUUCCAAUUUUCUGACUUCCGAAUUUAAUUUUCAAUUCCAAAAAUUUCAAUAUUUACAAACCCCAAUUUUUGAACUUAAUUUCCAAAUUCCAAAAUUCUGAUUUCCUUCACAUUUAACCCCCAAAAUUCCAAUCCUUUAGUUUAAUUCCCAAUACUCUAAUUUUCAAAUGAAUUUCAAAAAUCAAAUUUUCCCCUCAAACUGUUUUAUUUCCACUCUGGUUCUCAAAUAAACCUUUUAUUCUUCUUGGUUUCACAUAAGCAAGAAUGAUAAAUUUUCAUAAUUCCAAAUAAUGAGAUUUGUGGGAUUAAUUCGUGCAAGAAAGAUUGGGUUUUGGUGGGGGCCUCACAUACGUGAUUUUAUGAUUGAUUGAUCGAUUUGAUCGCCACACGUGAUUGAUUUAUUCUGUUGUAUGACAUACACACGAUUAUCCUAUGAUUCGUUCAUUAACUCUUGCUUCCAAUGAAACAAAUCAGGUCAUCACUCAGGUAUGUUCUUUGCUUCUUAUAUUCAUUAGGGCAUUUUGUUGUGAUUUUCAUUCGAUAUUCAUUGAUUUACUCAUCAAUCGCCAUAUUUGUUUCAUUCUAUUAGUAGAGACCCGACUUUAGGGACUUAGAGGGGUGCUACGGUCUUUACCGUACUUUCCCGAUAAGUAAUCUGUGGAAGCGCAUAAGGCAAAAUGCGGGGUCCAUAGAACCAAAGGCUAAAAAAAGCUGUGGUGGACCCAUAUGUUGACUUUUUUGUCGGACAGCAUUGCCAAACAAAGCAAAGGGAAAAGCAAAAAUGGAAAAACCAAAAUUUUUUCUCUAUCAAAGUUCCCACAUUUCUAGUCGGAAUAUAUAAUUUUUUUAAUAAAAAAAUUAUUAUAUAGAUAAUUUUCUAACUUCAUGUAAAAAUGUAACAAUAGAUUAACUAAUGACAACCACAUACAAUUUAAUAAUUAAUUAAUUAAUUAAUAUUAGGUUAAUUCAAACUCAAAUUAUUUGGCCUCACGAGAACCUAAAAGAGAAGCUAACAGCAAAGAGGAUGCAUACAACAAAACCAAAAUCAUGUGGUAUUCCCUUCAAAGAUCUUAACUCUAAAAAGCAUUAAAAUUUUGGAGAUCCAGAUAGGAUUCAAGCAAUUUGCAAAGAAAUUUCCCAUAUGAAGUUGGUAAUUAUGAGGAAGAUAAAAUUUCUAAUGGAAGAAGGAUUAGAUUGGAAGUAAUUGUUUGAAGUAGUCAACAUCAUGUUGGUAAUUGUGGGACUGGGAGAAAUUAUUACUAUCUUUUUAUUAAAAAAAAAUGAGUUUGUGUGUAUUGAAACAUAUCCUAAAUUAGAGAUUUGAUUUUUUAUUUUUUAUUUUUCAUUUGUUAUAGUACAGCUCAGCUGAAGGUCUUAAUUUCUUUUUACUCAGUAAUUUUCCAUAUAACUGUGAGAAUCCAAUGGUCAAUGAGCAAACAUAGAAAAGCAAGCACCCAUAGAAAAAGAAAUUCAGGGAAAUCCUAGUGAAUUCAGAUGUCAGGAUUUGUCACCAAACCCCACAAUUCAAUGGUUGGUCAAAAAACAUUUUUACAGUGGAGUAGGUGGAUGGAUGUUGAUCGAUCCAUUGUCUCAAUUCAAUGGUCGGUCUAAAAGCGUUUUUACAUCAAGUUGGUGGAGUAAGUGGAUGGAUGUUGACUAAUCGAUUGUCUCAAAAAUUUCUUUUUGUUUUAUUUGUUGAAAUUUUAUCCCUUAAAGGUUAAAACCAACUUAAAAGACAUAGUAAAAUAAGUAUUCAAGCUAUUUACUUGGAAUUACAAGAAUCAUUUUCAAUAAUUAGCAUUUUUAUUUUUAGAAAGUAGCCACUAAAAUUAAGAUUUAAUUAUAAUUAUGAAAAUUGUUGUUUUUUAUAUUUUCAUAAUGAUAUUGUUUUUUACAUAAUAAAUUUUUGGAUUGUUCCGUGACUUUUCUUUAAUUGGGAUGUCUAAAAAUAAAAAAGAAAUAAGAUUAUUAAUAAUCAUAUUUCCAUCACUGUUUAGAGUUCUUACUUUUUUAUUGUAAAUUUGAAAAUUAAAUUAAAAGUACUUUUGAUAAUGUUUCUAUUUGAACAUUAUGUCUGAUUCUUGAAAAAUGUUAAGAAAAGAAAAAAAUAUAAAGAAAAAUAAUUUUUUCAUGUGUGAUUAUGUUAUGAAAAAAUCCAAAGAAAAUCAAAUAUAAUUAAAAUUAAGUAUUUCUAAAUUAUUUAAUCUUUAUAUAAAUAAGUAAAAUAAAUAAAAUAAGUUUGAAAUAAUAAAUAAAAAUAAUUUAUUAAUUUUUAAUCUAUUUUUUUAUUUUCCUCCAUUUUUUUUUUCUACUUUUCAUUUAUAUUUUCUUUCUCAUACAUUUUCUCUCAAAUUUUUGGAGAAUCAAACAUAGUUGAAGUGUUUACAUUACAAGUGUUUUUUAAAAAAAAAUGAUUUUAGGAGAACCAUAUAUCAAAUGUUAAUUUUUCAAAACAUAUUAGAAAUAAUUUUUUAAUAUUAAAAGUGAUUUUUAGAUUUUUAAUAGUAUUUUUUAAAUUUUAUAAAAUACUUCAUCUUUUUAAGAAAUAUUUUUUAAGAUAAAAAUACUUUUCAAAAUCACUCUUAAACCAAGUAAACCACCAAAACAUAUGAUUUAAAAAUCAUAAUAAAUAUUAUGUGAAGGAUUCAAGUGGGCAUCGAUUUUCCUUUCUUUUCUUUUAUUUUAUUUUUUGUAACCAGGAGUGUUGGGUUAAAGUUGAUAUUAACACCAAAGGCCUCAUUUUUGGAAUUUAAUUAACAAAAAAAUCAUUUUCAAGUUGAUAUUAAUAUAAAUAGUCUUACGGAGUCCAUUAUUGAGUUUUCUGUAAACAUACUUCUUUCAUUGAAUCGAUUUUGGUGGGGGGUGGACCCAAGAUUCUGACAUUAUAACAAACACCAAGUAAGGACGGCUUUUUUUAUUUUAUUUUAUUUAUUUAUUAUUAUUAUUAUUAUUAUUAUCAGUUUGGUGGAGCCAGACAAUGCCAAAAAAGCAAAAGCAUCCUAGGCCGGCAUUGAUAUCGUAUGGCCAAAAGCCAAAGGCCAAAGGCCAAAAGGAUGAUGUCUACCAUUCUUUCUUUUCCACUUUUAUUUAUUGAAAUUUUAAUCCCUCGGAUGAACUUGACAACCAUCUUAAAAUAAUUAUUCGAAGCUAUUGAUUUAAAAUAAUUAGGAUCAUUUUCAAUAAUUAAUAUAUAUAUAUAUAUAUAUAUAUAUAUAUAUAUAUAUAUAUAUAUAUAUAUAUAUUUUGAAAAAAAGUAAUCAUUGACUUAGAGCUAGAAUGAUAGUAAUUUAAAAAAAUAUUUUUAACCUAAAAAGCUUUUUUGAAAGGAAAAAAAAAAGUAUAUGGUAAAAUUUAGGAAACACAUUUUAAAAAUUUGAAAAAUCAUUUAUAAUAUUGAAAAAUCACAUGUAGUGUUUUUUGGAACAAUAUAAGAGGGAUUAUGAUAGAUGAUACGAACAAUUAUAAAAAUGCUACAAAUAAUGUAAAACAAGGUAUGAACAAUAUGAGAAAUGAUAUGAAUAAGAAGCUUUUCCUUAUUAUUAUUGAUGAGGACAAAACAAUGUGUAAAUAGAAAUGGAUAAACAUACUGUAAAUGUGGUGGGUAAGGAGCAUUGAGUAGACCGUAUUGCUUUGAAUAUCAUCACAAAAGUGUUGAGUUUGCAUAAAAUAAAUUUAUGAUAUAAAAUAUAAACAUAAAAUAGUUAAUAACAUUAAUUAUGUAAUAAAAUUAAUAAGAAGUUGGUUUAUCUUUCUAUUCCUUUCUACUUCUUGUCUAGGUUCUAAAGUUAUGAAGUCUUUUUGAUUUGCAUGCUUAUAUUGAAAAUUAACAAGUAGUAUAAAAUAUAAGUAUUUAAUAAGUAUCACUUUUAAAACAUGUAAUGAAUAAAGUAUAUCCAAAAUAAUUAAUUUAUAUAUUUUUGGUCAAAUGAAACAUCAAAUACACAAUCAAUAACCAAUGUUUGAAAUAUCUAUAAACACAAAUAUAUUGGUUCUUAGAUUUUAUGGAUAUAUCGGAGAAAUAUUAAUAGAUAUUUUGACAAAAAUAUGAAUAAGUCGAAAAUUAUUCAAGAUUCAUGGAAAUAUUUGAAAAAAACUCUAAAAAAAUGAUAAAAUAAAUAAAAAGACAUAUAUUAAAGUUAUUUUGUAAAUUUAAUUAACAUAAGUAUGGAGAAAAAUAUUGGUAAGUAAAGAUAUACUGGUUUUAAUAUAUAAUUUAUUAUUUAUCUUAUCAAAUUAAUUUUAAUUUAUAACAUAUUAGAACUUUAUUAUUAUUUUUUUAUAUUUUAAUAUUUUUUAAUAAAUUUAUAUUUUUAAUAUUUAAAAAUAAAAAUAUUCAAAAUUAGAAAGAUAAAUAAAUAAAAUUUAAAAAGAGGUGAUAGUAAUUUUUUUUAAAUAAGAUUAAUGAGAUAAAUGAUGAUAUAUUUAAUAUUAAAACUAUGAUUUAUUUAAUUUAAAUGUAUUCAAUAAUAUAAAAUAAAUAAUGAAUAGUUUUUUAAUAUUUUUUAUUUUUAUAUUUAAUUAUUAUAUAAAAAAAAUUUGUUAAGAAAAUUAUAAUGUUGAAAAUUAUAAAGGAGAAAACCUGAAAGAUUGUCAAACACGUGAAUAAAGAGAGAGUUGUCCUUCUGUCCUAUGUAUUGUUCAGAUGCCAACCAAAAAAUGAAGAAAAAACAGAUAAUUUAAUGAGAAGCUAUUAAAUAAUUUAAGAAGGAAAAAGAAAAUAGAGAAGAGUUAAAAAAACAUGAAUUGUUUAAUGGAUUUCAAAUUCUUUUUAUUUUACUUUUUUCAAUUUUUACACAUCUCUUUGUAAUAUAUUCAAUAUUCUAUAUGAUAUUUAUAAAGAAGAUAAUCAAAUAUCAUUUAAACAUGGGUACUUUUUUUAACAAAUGCAUCACUAAUUAUAUAUUUUUUAAUGAAAAUAUUGACAAUGUUUCGAUAUUUUCACUCUUUUCCAAAAUCAUAAUCAACAAAUUUUCUAAUUUGCUUUUUAAAAUUUGUUGGAAGUGUCUCAACUUUUUAAUUGGAAUAUAUAAGUUUUUUAAUAAAAAAAUAUUAUAUAGAAUAUUUUCUAAAUUCAUAUGCUAUUGUAAUUAGAUUUUUUAUAGGAUACAGAAAGGGAAUAGAUUAACUAGUGAGAUCUGCAUGGGAGCCUUAAAAGAGAAGCUAAGAGCAAAGAGGGGGGUGGGGGGCAUACAACAAAACCAAAACUGUGGUAUUCCCUUCAAGGAUCUCAUGUCCACCAUCAUUACUCUAAAAAGCAUUGAAAUUUUGGAGAUCAGGAAAGGAUUCAAGCAAUUGGUAAAGCAGUUUCCCAUAUGAAGUUGGUAAUUAUGAGCAAGAGAAAUUUUGCAAUGGAAGAAGGAUUGGACUGGAAGUAAGUGUUUGAAGUCGUCAACAUCAUGACAAAGUUGUUAGUAACCGGUAACUGUGGGACUGAGAGAAAUUAUUUUUUGAAACAUUAGAUUAAAUACCAACCUCUUAUUUUGUUAUCAUCAAAAGAUGGCUACAAGAAACCUUGGGCUAACUGGUAUAUGGGUUUAAUUGCAUGGUCCAAACUAAGAUUCAAAUAAGAAUGCAAAAGCUCCGUGUCCACAACACGCUUUCUAACUGCUGAUAUACGAAACCACUGGGUGGUUUUCUAUGUUUUGAAUCUUUCAAAAGUUUGAAAGACUUUUGGUGAAGUUGCCAAAAGUUCUAUAUAGAUAAGAGUUCACAAAUGGCUUUGAAUUUUCUAAACACCUAGAAAAGAGACUUUCUGCAGCAAGUACUUGCCAAUUUUUCAAUACCUGUAAAGGUGAGAAUACGAGGGAAGCCAUGGGCUGGUGAAUCAUGUUACAUCAACUGGAAGAGAAGAAGACCAUCUAGAUGUUUACCUGCCACCUUGAAAUUUAUAACCGUAGUGUAGCAACCUUGUUUGUACUAUUAGAACAAGAAAAUGCAACCAUACUAACAAAGAAAACACCAUUAGAACAAACAUGGAUAUUCAACUGAAUAUAUGGAACUUCCAGAAUUGCAAAGACGAGUAGGUGCGUAUAUACUGUCUUAGGGAUGUGCAGUUUCAGAAGGUUGAACUAAAGGGGAAAGGACAAGGGGGCACAGGAACUUCAACAACUCCUUGAAGCAUCAGUAUGACCAUUCCCAUGGAGGGCCUCAAAGAAGGGUCCUCUUGAAUGCACCAAAUGGCAACCAUCACUACCCUCUCCAGCAUCCCCAUGUCCUUUCCUGCUUCAUCAUCAUUCUUCACUAGCUUAUCCAAUCUGUGGCCUCUAUAGCAAUCAUAAGCCCAAUCAGCAAGUAUUGCUUCCUCCUCAUUUUCCGGCUGUGAAUGUACGCUCUUCCUGCAACUGAUGAUCUCCAGUAACAUAACCCCAUAACUAUAAACAUCCACUUUCGCCGUAAUCGGCUUGCUCCUGAACCAUUCUGGUGCAACGUAUCCUUUGGUCCCUCUGAUGGUUGUAAGGGUCCGAGUAUGAUCUCUUAUCAGAAGCUUUGCUAGUCCGAAGUCUGAAAUCCUAGGUGUAAGGUACUCGUCAAGGAGGAUGUUUUCAGGCUUUAUAUCACAAUGGAUGAUGGGGGUGCUGCACUCUUCGUGUAAAUACAUUAGCCCUUUUGCAAUCUUAAAGGCUAUCUGUAGUCUUUGGCUCCAGUCAGGUGUAGAUAUUCCAAACAACAAGUCUGCUAAAGAUCCAUUGUUCAUGUACUCGUAUACCAGAAGCCGGUGCACACCCUGAUCACAAUAGCCAAGCAAACUGACCAAAUUCCUAUGGUGGGUCUGCCCAAUCACAGUGACUUCUGUUUUGAAUUCCUUCUCGCCUUCCUGUACCACCUUAUCUAAUUUCUUGACUGCCACAAAUCUCCCAGCAUCUGAUGCCAAAACCCCUUUAUAAACUGUUCCAAAAGCUCCCCUGCCCAAUUUCUCCUUGAAUCCACCGGUUGCCUCUUCAAGCUCUUUGUAUGAAUAAGUUCUCACACUGGUGGUCGGGAAUUUGCUUGAAACGGACUGGAUAUUCAUCAGUUUCUUGUUGUAGAAGAAGAGAGCAGCCGCAGGGAUUGCUAACAACAGAAAGAGAUUAAAGAACACAGAGCUGCCAAGGAGUACUGACCCAACAAGGAUCAAGGUAGACUUGUCUGGGCAUCUCUCUAUAGUAUCAUUUUUAAUCCGUACCUUGAUGAGAGCAGUUGUGUAUUGGAGCACAUUUUGUGUAGGUUCGUGUCUUCCAUUUGAGAGAGGAAACUUCUUCUUCCAACACUGAUUCUCAGUGUUAUAGAUAGCAACCACACAGAGGCAAUCAUCUUUGCAAGACUGUUUACACUUCUCCUUGUUGAAUUCAGGUCCCUCCUGAAGUUGAUAAUCAGAUAAUGGCCAGUUGACAUCUUUUAAUUCUCUGAAAUCUACUGCAUCCUUGUCUGCUUCCCAUCCAUCAACAGCUGUUUGGCAGCUGGGCAAUUCAAAAUUCGGUUUACAGCCUUGUUUUCUGUCAAGAGGAUCCAAAUGAGAGUACCCAUCUGGGCAUAGACAAUCAGGCAGCCCCCUUCCAUCAAUGGAACAAUAGCUGUUGAACCCACAAAUUCCACUGCCAAGAUUACUUGGGGUCACGGUACAAAUGUUAUCAGGAAUGUUUUUCACAACAGACCAAGAAGUACUGCUGUUGUCACGAUUAUAUAGCCUGAAAACUCCGUCCUGGUCAAGCGUUGCCCGGUAAUAGUAAUCUCCCGUCAAGCUACUUCCGGAGGUGAUGUUAACAGUACCUCCAUUCCUUAGAAGAACAUAGAUGCCACCUGACUCAUCAAAAAUCAACCGUAGGCCAGAAUUGCUGCUAUUUGCAGCAUCACUGGUGUAAAUUGAAUAAUAAACAUCAUAUGCUUUACCAGAUUCUGGGUCCAAGGUAUUAAGUACGAGAUUGCCACCAGCUUUCAUUUGAAGCUGGAACCUCCCCUUUGAGUAGCUGCUGUUUGACUGCUGAGAAUACAUGGUGCCACCGAUUUCCAGUGUUUGAGUUGGCAAGAUGGUGUUGGCUGGAUUCUGGAAGCUCUGCCACACUGUAAGAUUUUGAUUCCUAUUUUCAAGAACAAAGUUACCAGUAUCAAGCAUGGCAGCAUGAGUGACCGCGGUUACAGAGUUCUGAGGUCUCCAUAUCUCUUUGCCUUGUGGAUCACUUAGUAUGAACUGGCCAUCAGAGGUAAGUUCAAGUUUGGAUCCUUUAGGAGCCGGGUUAUCUCCAUUUGCAUACCAAACUAAGGUUUUUUCCGGUAUGUUUUCGAACCAGAUAGCAAGCAAGAAGAGACUUUGACUGCCAAGGCGGUAAAACCCAAAGGCAAAUUCACCAGAAGGUGAUACACAUCUAGGCGAGUCCUGGGAGGCUGUAAUGUCAAGAUCAGUGCAAUAUUGAGACAACACUAAAGAUGGAAGGACAAGAAGAAGAAAGAACCUGGCAGCCAUUGCAGAAGAGCCUUGGUACUACCCUUCACACCGGAGAAAGUUUGUAGAACAUAUAAAAGUAUUCACAUGGGAUUGUGAGACUGGAAAAAAUAGCAUGCACAAGGUCAAUGCGGUCGGAUUGGGUGAGCGGUGGAAUCAAUUUCGUGAGUGAAACAUCUUCCUAAUUCACUUUAAAGGUCAUUGCUGACACGUUUUCCAAGCUUUGAAUCUUUGAAAAACUAGUUAUGGCCAACCACAUAUGUGUGGCUUAUCUUCUUCCACUUCAUAGGGUAUAGGAUAUGGCUUACCCCCACAUGCAUUAGGUAUUUAGUGUGCAUCUUCCAAUAGUACAUCAUUGGAAAGCGACUAAUUCAUUGUCUAAUAUGCACAUCCAUUUUUAGGGCCUAGGUCCUCAUUUGUGGUUGAAACGAUCUAUUCUCAAUCAGCCAAGACUUUUGCAUGCUUACAAAUUUGAUUUCACUUAUUCAAGGUAUGAAAGGGAUUUUAUCGGUCAAUUCUUACAUUGCAGAAUUGUUGAAAUUGUCUUAUUACAGCCACCAAGAAGCUAAAUUAUGUGUCUAAUCUCAUGGUUAUAGUCCGGGGUUCUACUAACUUGUGAACUGGUAUCUAUUGAUUCUAAUUGUCCGUUACCAUUUUCUAAGACUUUUGAUACAAGUUGGAUGAGCUCAAUUGCACCUCAAUCAGCCUCUGUUAAGAUUCCACAGUUAUAUAGUUGGUUUGAAUUUUUCUAAAAAUGGUUUUAAGAAAAUUACCUAUCAAACGUUUCUCCAAAAAAUAUUAUAAGUAAUUUUUCAAUAUUAAAAGUGAUUUUUCAUAUUUUUAACAAUAUUUCGUAAAUUUUGUCAAAUGUUUUUUUUUUUCAUAAAUACUUUAAAAAUAGAAAUAUUUCUUAAAAUUAUUGUCAAAUAUUAAAACUAUCAAAACAUAUGAUUUGAAAAUCAUAAUAAAUAUUAUGUGAAUAAUUCAAGUGGUCAUCUAUUUUCUUUUUUGUUCUUUUAUUUUUUGUAACCCGGAGUGUUGGGUUAAAGUUGAUAUGAACACCAAAGGCCUCAUUUUUGGAAUUUAAUUAACACAAAAUUCUUUUUCAAGUUGAUAAUUAUAUAAAUAAUCUUAUGGAGUCCAUUAUUGAAUUUUAUUGAGAGUGUGUGGCCAAAAGCCAAAAGGAUGAUGUCUACCGUUCUUUCUUUUCCAUUUUCAUUUAUUGAAAUUUUAUUCCCCCGAUGAACUUGACAACCAUCUUAAAAUAAUUAUUGGAAGCUAUUAACUUUAAAUAAUAAGGAUCAUGUUCAAUAAUUAACAUUUUUUUGAAAAAAAAAGUAAUCAUUGACUUAGAGCUCGAAUGACAGUGACGGUAAAAAACGUUUUUAACCUAAAAAGUUUUUUUGAAAGAAAAAAAAAAAUAGGUAUUAGUAAAAUUUAAUAAACGCUUUUUAAAAAUUUGAAAAAUCAUUGAUAGUAUUAAAAAAUCACUUAUAGUGUUUUUAGAGAAAUGUUUUAUAGAUGAUUUUCUUAAAAACACUUUAUGAGAAAAUACUUUCAGAGAAAAUAUUUUCAUUAAAAAUACUUUAAAUAAAAAUAUUAUCAAAUGUACUCUUAAAUAUUUUAUUAUGAAAUUUAUUAUUCUAAUUAAUUUUAUAUAUAAUGACAUGAACAAAAAAUAUCAUAUCAUGAAAAAUUUGUGUUUUCUUUAGUAGUGAUAUUAUUUUUUGGAGAAUAAUAUUUGAAGGUGUGGAAAAAAGAUUGGUGAAAAAGCGAAAAAUCCUUUUAAUCUUACAUCCUAGUUGUGUUCAAAUAUAAGAGUUGGGAUCACCAAAUUCAUUAAUAUUCAAGAAGAAGUAAGAAUGAAAAUUAAAUAUUCAUCUUCAUUCCUAAUUUUUACAUAGCAAAUAUGGCCUUCUAAUGUUACAUUGAACAGUGAGAUGUUUCUUGCACCAUUAAAAAAAUCAGCCUUGGAAAACAGACGUCAAAUUUCUUGCACCUGACAUUGACAUGGACUCAAACUAUCUAAAACUAACCUAAAUUCAUGGAGAUGAAUGGCCAAUCAAGUGAAGCACUUGCCUGCGUGAUGUCUGGUCAGUCAUCUUGAAAUGAGAAUUAUAUAGUCAGAUAAAUAAUAAAACACAUAACCUAAUAUUCUAUUCAUUGAUUCGCUCAUUCACUAAUCAUUAGAAAGUCGGGAAAUAUAGAAGAGCAAAUUUUCUAAUUCAAGGAGAUGCUGAAGAGGCUCAGAAUCAUAAUUUCUAUACAAAAUCAGGAAGUUCAAUGAGGGAAUUGCACUCAACCCUUUAAGAUAAGAAUAUGGAAAUGGAAAACAAAGCUUCAAAAAGUCUUAGGUUAUGUUUGGUUUCUGAAAAAUAUUAAGGAAAGAAAAAAAAUACAAAUGAAAAUGAAUUUUUCAUAUUUGGUUGUCCUAUGAAAAAUAUAAAAGAAAAUCAAAUAUAAUUAAAACUAAUUAAAAAUAUAUGUAUUUUUAAAUUUUUUAAUCUUUAUAUUGAUGAGUUAAAAUAAAUAAAAUGAGUUUGAAGUAAUAAAAAAAAUAAUUUAUCGAUUUUUAAUCUAUUUUUUAUUUUCCCUCACUUUUUCUUUCCUUCUACUUUUCCUUUGUAUUUUCUUUCCCUUGCAUUUUCCCUCAAAUUUUCUGGGAACCAAACAUAGCCUUAAAGUCUAGAUCAAUUUAAUUACAAUAUUCUUCUUCGGAGUUUCACAGUACAAACCUUCAUUAAGACUUGGGACUCUUUAAUUUUCUUUUCAAAGAAAGAGAUGACUUGGAUAAACAAUGAGAACCAAUGCCCAUGGUCACUUACAGAAGUUUAUGCAUGACGAUGACAAUUCUACUAAUGAGAAGCAAGCACAAGAAGACUGCCACCUCCAAGGUCCAUGCCAAUGACCUCAAUGAUCAUCCGCAGGGCAACAAAAAAAUAAACAGAAAUUCCAAAAUAAGAACAAGACCACGUCAAAAUUGUGACAAAAACAAAUUCAGCAACUACCUGACAAAGAUUUGUCUUUCUACUUGCCUUUUGUUAUAAGGACUCCCGAAAAACUUAGGCUGCUAAACCAAAAGUGUGUUUAAACAAAUAAAAAUUUGACCAAUUCAGUACCAUAAAAUACUUAUAUAAAAUUGUUGGUUUAGGAAUGGCAACUUUCUAAAUGAUCCUAGAUCUAAAUAUACAUUGGCAUAAAAUUGCAGUUGUUUACCUCACAUGUUUUUUUAUUGUCAUAAUAGAACUUUGUUCCUUAGAAGAAGGCUUCUAUGCUUAUCCUGGUUACUUAACAUGGAACAUGUGCAAAUAGAGUUUGUUGCCUGCCCAAAUCUUCCACAACCGGACCAGCCAAUGACUUGUGUGCAUGUACAGUUCUUCAAGAGUGUUGAGCAGAUUAAAAGCCUUUGAAUGCAAAAAGGAGGUCAAGACAUUAACAAUGUAGAAUAUUUAAGUAAUUCUGGUAUCAAACAUAAUAAAAUUGAUUAAACAAAACCUUGAACAAUGAGGUAUUUUCUUCCAAAAAAGAUGAGCUCCACCAUUGUGUGGGCUAUUGAGAAUAUGAAAAAUAAGACAUUAGAAUGAUAAGCAAUUAAAAUUACCUACUAAUGAGCAGCAAACUAGAAUGUUGAAUUUUGACUUAGUAUUUGCUGGAAUUUGAAUUUUGAAUAUUGCAGCUGGAGUCUUGCACAAAAUCUGCAACAUCUAGAUAUUUUCUUAUUUUUAUUUGGUCAAGAUUUGGUUUCUAUUUUAUAGGAAGUAGUUAUUCAUCAUCUAGUAGCUUGAUUUUCUGCUAUUCUAAUGUCAUUUAAGUUACAAGUUCAUGUAUAAAUUCAGCACUCUUCAUCAAUAAAAUCAGAGUUCCAGCAGCCCAAAAAUAUAUUUUUUGUAUAAGUAUUUAAUCUUAUACCAACAAAGUGGUAUCAGAGCCAUAGUUAUCUUGAGGGGCCAGUGAGGUGAGAACCCAAACACCUUCUAAAAUCAUAUAGCAAUGGAAGAGUCAAGUCUCACAGUUGCACCAUCAAUUCUUGAUGGAGACAAUUAUGAAACUUGGGCUGUUAGAAUGACAGUUCAUCUACAAGCACUUGAUGUUUGGGAAGCAGUUGAAGAAAAUUAUGAAGUUCCUCCCCUGGGAGCCAAUCCAACUGUGGCUCAAAUGAAGUUGCAUAAAGAAAGAAGGACAAGAAAGGCUAAAGCGAAAGCUUGCUUGUUUGCUGCAGUUUCACCAUCAAUUUUCAUCAAAAUCAUGAAAAUUGAUUCAGCUGUAGAAAUUUGGGAGUAUCUCAAGGAGGAAUACAAAGGAAAUGAAAGAAUCAAGAACAUGCAGGUGAUGAACUUGAUUCGAGAAUUUGAAAUGAAGAAAAUGAGGGAGUCUGAUGCUGUUAAAGACUAUGCUGCACAACUUCUUUCAAUAGCAGACAAAGUUAGGCUGCUUGGAAAAGAAUUUUCCAAUGAGAAGAUUGUUCAAAAGAUAUUGGUUACACUUCCUGAGAAAUAUGAAGCUACAAUUUCCUCUUUGGAGAAUUCAAAAGAUCUGUCAACUAUUAGCUUGACAGAAUUAUUACAUUCCUUGGAGGCUGUGGAACAAAGAAGACUCAUGAGACAAGGAGAUACUACAGAAGGAGCAUUUCAAGCAAGAAUGCAGAAAAAUGCAGGCCAUAAAAAUGGAAAGAUGAACAACAACAAGCCAUGCAGCAACAACCAGAAAAAUGGAGUUUUUCCACCUUGUCCUCAUUGCAAGAAGACAAAUCAUUCUCCACAAAAAUGUUGGUGGAGACCAGAUGUGAAAUGCAACAAGUGUGGUAAACAAGGACAUGUGGAGAGGAUUUGCAAAAAUCAACAACAGGAAGAAACUAGUGCAGCAGUUGACUAUUGCCAGGAGGAGCAAUUGUUUGCAGCAACGUGUUUUGCUAAUAAAAGCACCUCUGAAAGCUGGCUUGUGGAUAGUGGUUGUACAAAUCACAUGACAAAUAAUCAAGAUCUCUUUAGAGAACUUGAUAGAACAACUAUUUCCAAAGUCAGAAUUGGAAAUGGUGAGUAUAUUCCAGUGAAGGGCAAAGGAACGGUUGCUAUCGAAAGCCAAACAGGUUUGAAACUCAUUUAUGAUGUUUUGUUUGUGCCUGACAUUGACCAAAACUUACUCAGUGUUGGACAGCUCGUUGAGAAAGAAUUUAAAGUUUAUUUUGAAGAUAGGAAUUGCAUUAUCAAGGAUGCUGAAGGCAAAGAGGUGUUCAACAUAAAAAUGAAGGGCAAAAGUUUUGCCUUGAAUUUACUGGAAGAUGAGCAUACUGCUAUUUUACAACAAGAUAGCACAACAAUGUUUUGGGACAGAAGGGUCGAGCACUUUCAUCAUGAUGAUGUGCUCUACAUGAAGAAAAAUCAAAUAGUUGAAGGACUUCCUGACUUAGAAAAAGAUCUUCCUAUAUGUGCUACUUGUCAAUAUGGGAAGCAAACUAAACUUCCCUUUCCAAAGAAAAUAUCCUGGAGAGCAACCCAAAAACUGCAACUGGUGCAUACUGAUGUUGGUGGAUCUCAAAAAAUGCCAUCCUUGAAAUGGAAUGCAAACAAUGUUUGGUGGAUCUCAAAAAAUGUCAUCCUUGAAAUGGAAUGCAAACAAUUUUGGGCUAAAACUGCAAGUAGAGCAGUAUAUUUUCUGAACAUAUUGCCAACAAAAGUGUUAAAGAAGCAGACCCCUUUCGAAGUUUGGUUUGAGUGUCUACGUGCAAGACUUGGAGUUUGCAUCUACGAAGUCAAGGAGGAGUGUUGAAUUUUGACUUAGUAUUUGCUGGAAUUUGAAUUUUGAAUAUUGCAGCUGGAGUCUUGCACAAAAUCUGCAACAUCUAGAUAUUUUCUUAUUUUUAUUUGGUCAAGAUUUGGUUUCUAUUUUAUAGGAAGUAGUUAUUCAUCAUCUAGUAGCUUGAUUUUCUGCUAUUCUAAUGUCAUUUAAGUUACAAGUUCAUGUAUAAAUUCAGCACUCUUCAUCAAUAAAAUCAGAGUUCCAGCAGCCCAAAAAUAUAUUUUUUGUAUAAGUAUUUAAUCUUAUACCAACAUAGAAUACAUCCAUGGUUUCCUCCAUGCCUGUAUAAGAGAAAUGACAAAGAAAGUGAGGAAGAACCAAAGCAUCCAUGUUUUUCCAGUCAUUAAGCGGUUCACUUGGGUUAUGCAUAUGGCCAAAUAAAAAACAGGGCAUGAAUAUGUGAGUGCCGUUAGAAUAUGAGAAUUGUCUGUGUCAAAAUGCGAGCACCUAGGUUGAAUCCUCAUCUACAGCUAUUCAAAAUUCGUCUCAGGCUUGAAGCUUCAAGAAGAAGAAAAUCUUAAAUCAAAUAAAUGGAGCCAAGGAAUUAUGUAGAUAUAUUCUUGAGAUUAGAAAUUGGAACAUAACUUUUCUAAAGAACUAAGUUUAAGCACAGAACAAUUACCUGCCGAUAUGUUGGUGCAGUGCCACUUUCAUUAAAAUAGCACAUCAUUGAUCUCUAUUUUUGGAAUGUGAGAUAUAUAACGCCAUUCUUGCCCUUUCUCAAAUUGGUGCCGUUGUUCUAGUGAAGGACAUUUGUAGACAUACAGAUAAGAGAGAGGGAGUCUGGCAGUGUCAACUACUGGAGCUUAGGGCAGUUGGCGAUAUACAAGGUUUCAAGAGUGGUAAGGUGGUGAAGACCUGCUUCUGUUAAGGAUUGGAGCCUUGGGCACAAGUAUAAUAUUUUGAGAGAAAUAUGGUGUUGACGAACGGACCCCUAUGGAGAACUGGAGCUCAGUGCAAUUCCUGAUCUCUAAUUGUAGAAGAGAGGUGAGUCGUUGAAGCCCCCUGCUGUAAAGAGACUUGAGAUUUGGAAGAUCUGAGAUUGAAAUAUAAGUCAGAGAAGAGGGCAGCAGGCACUCCUUGGGAAAUAAUUCCACGUCUUCACAUCCACCUUUGAUUGUUAAUUUAGUAAGAGAGGUCAAUCUUUGCAAAUCCCAAUCCACCUGGGAUGUGAGUUGGUUGCAGCGACAAACUUCUAGUUCACGUAGGUUGGAAGGCAAACCUUCUCUGUGAAACAAAAAUUCUGAGCAAUCCCUUAAAAUCAGUUUCCGCAGAGAUGAGUGUGUGUGGACCAGCAAUCUGAGCUUGGAGCAACUGGAAAUCUCGUGGUCCAUUGAGUCCAGAGCAGGCAGUUGGAUAUAUACAAGAUUAUGGCACCCUCUGAUUUCCAAAUUAAGAAGAGAUAUGGGAUCGCCCUCUGAAAUCGAAAUGCAGAGCUUCUCAAGUCCCUAAGACCAUGGAUUGCGAAAUUAGUCAACCUGGGGGAGAUGUCCAAUAUUGAGAAGGAUAAUGGGGGAGAAUUAUUGUAGGUACCACCAUUGAUUGAUAGAUUUUCAAGUACAGGGUGAUGGCAUCUGAACAACUCUGGUAGAAUAAGGUCCACUUUGGUACAGUAAGAGAUUGAUAGUGAUUGCAACAUAGUGGGUAAACCAACUUUGCUCGGGGAUCUGAAAAAGAGCAGUCACAAAUUUUUAAACUGUGGAUGUUGGUUUGCAGGAUUUCCUCCUCUAGCAGAGACUCCAUAGAAUCACACUUUGUGGAUGUUGCUUCCAUUGAGAGACGUCUGAAAUUUCAAUUUCUGAAGUUUGAAGAGCUGUGAACCCACAAGUUUGCCUUUUCAACUGCAAUCUACGGGCAGCAGGAACAUUGAGUGUAGGCACAAGCAGUUGCGGACAUAUUUCAAGGUUAAGUUCCUGCAAUGAAGGAAGGUGUAUUGGUAAUUCCCCAAUGAGUAUAGGACAUUGCCUUAUAGAAAGCUCCUGGAGACGAGGGAAUUCUCCACGUAUGCCUCCACGACAUAACCAUUUCUCCCAAUUGGACAUUACAAAAUGAUAUAGUUUACAGGGAUGGGAAGGAGGGCUGAAGUGAAAAAGAGGAGUUCCCAUAAAACUCACCACCCACCCUGACUACUCCUUUCAUGUCUGAGAUCUCUAGAAGUUUAAGACAAG